UAACACAUAGUGAAGACUCAUUAUCUUUAUCAAUGAUGCGUCAGUUGGAGGUAAAAAUUAGGUCCUUUUCAAUAUCCAGUGGUGACUGUGCUCCUAGAAAGAUCAGUCGAGGAUACAGUCUGAAAAGUUUAUAGCUUAGGUAGGAUUAAGUGCAGUGCCUCUCUAGUACACACCUGGAUGUGACCAUUGUGUCCACAUGUUUUUCAAACCUGGCAGGAACAAUAACCCCAUUCAGAAAUGACUUCUAAAAAGGCUAUUUUUGCUGUGCUUGGAGGCUUGCGCUUGUAGCCCUAGCUACUCAGGAGGCUGAGGAGGGAGGAUUGUUUGAGCCCAGGAAUUCUGAGCCGUAGUGAGCUAUGCGGAUUGGAUUCCUGAGCUAAAUUCGGCAUCAAUAUGGUGACCUCCUGGGCACAGGGGAUCACCAGGUUGCCUGAGAGGGGGUGAACCAGCCCAGGUUGGAAAUGGCGCUGGUCGAAACUCCCAUGGUGAUCAGUAGUGAGAUCAUGCCUGUGAGUAGCCAUUAUACUUCACCCUGGGCAACAUAGCAAGAAUCAAUCUCUCUCUCUCUCUUUUUUUUAAAGAGCCAACCUUGGGAAGAAAUGCCUUUUUUUUUUCUUUUUAGAGGACAUUUCUUCCUAAGGUUGGCUUGUUUUAAGGAUAGCCAAACCUACAGGUUGUUCUAAUUGAUAUACUCAUCUCACCAACACUAACGUUACUAUUGUUUUUAUUACAUUUCAAAGAGGUCAUCAAAUCCAUAAAAGUUCAGAACUUGGCAAGAAUGGCCAGCCAGUAAAUUCUGGACUUUCUCUUUGAACCCCCAAGUCUUAUAAUGCAAGAAUGUAACCUCUUAAUUGCUCUAUUUGUACUACAUUGUUAUCUUUGGACUUUGCUGGAUACCCUUGACCUCUCUGGUAUUUCCUGUUAUGGUGAGUCUGUCCUAACAACCUUGUUAUAGACAUGUUUUUGCACAUUAACAACACUUCAUGGAAGAAGCCCUUUGACAUGAGACUUGUUCCUAAGUAUUCCACUGGCUUUCCAAGUAUAGGAUUACCCUUUGAUUACUUUAUCUGGCUACCAGGACAGAGAAAUUCUUGGGAGCCAACUAGCCAUCGGGUCAACUGUUUUUCCAGGUUUAGUCCCCUGUACUUUCAGGUCUUCAGCCUCAAUUUGACUUCCUGGCUUGUUCCGUGAGGAUUUUGGAGUUACGUCAGGUGAGGAAUCAAUCCAUCCAGUCUGAAAUGUUGCUGGGAGGAGGGCUGUCUUUCUGUAACAGGGGAAUGUUUUAUUUAUUUGAACUACAGGGUAAGUUAUAGACUAUAAUGCAUUGUACAAUUGUUUGAUUUUAAAGAAAACUCAUUACAGCUUUACUGUUCCAAAACCGAACAUCUUAUGUCUGCAUUCCUAUUUAUUAUUAUCUACUCUGGGCCUUGCAGAUAUUCUGUUUCCUGGCUCCUCUAACAAGUUAAUUAUUGGUAUUAAUCCUCUAACAAAUUAGUUAUUAAUGUACAUUGUACAGAUAAGUGUGAAUUGGAGAGAAAAUAAUUUUAACAAGAUCAGAAUGCCUUCCAGUUCAAUUUGAAUUCGAGGGCUUAAUUCAUGGCAUUUUAUAGUUCAAAGAAAACUUUGAAUUGUUUAAGAUAUACAAACUCACAUAUAUUACAGGAAGAGAAGUAUGGAUAAAUUUCCCAAUAGUUGCCUAGCAGAAGUAUAUACUUAGUAUAUGACUUACUAAGAGAGUGAUCACAAGUGACUUAGGGAGCCCUUUGUAGGUUUCCCCUAUUUACCUUUAGCCUUUUACCACAUCACCAAUGAUGUCUUAUUUUCAUACUGCCUAUAGAAUUAAGUUAGUCUGUCCAAGAAGUCACUUUGUUUUACCCUGGUCCCAGUGCAUUCCCAAAUAUCAGGGAUUAUAUUCCCUUAUUUUUACCCGGGCAUUGGAUGCCUCAUGUUCCCUUAUAUCAAACCUUAAAGGUAGCUUUUAGGCAGAAUCUGGUGGUGCCCUUUUGUCCUGAGGGCAGGACAAUAGAAGAAAAACUAAUUUGGCAUUAGACUUUUUCAUGGUGGACAACCUGCUGCUUAUUUGGAAGACCUUCUUCAUCUUCAGAAUAUUGAUCCAAGUCCUUUGGGGCCGCUGCUACUGUCAGAGUUGUUUUGAGUUUGGCAGUACCUCUCCAAAGCCUCAAGGUAAGGGAUGUGUGGUUUGAGAAGUGGAAUACAAGUCCAUAAUCUAUAGAAUUCUAGAGCUUAAUAGAUGAUUACUUCAUUACCUUGAUUAUACCCAUCAAUUUUUAGGUGUGAACGUUGAGAUCUGGGGUUGGGUGUAGGGUGGCUUGUGUGGGCUUCCCCAGGCUAGAUUGAAAACUCAAACAAACUGCAUGUGCCCCUAUUACUUUUGUUUUUGGAGUUUAAGAAGUUUUAGAGUCUUGGCUUCUCAUUUAUUAUACAACAAAAGGGAAAUAAAAAGUAGGAGUGUGGGAUAGUGUAUAGCUGGUAAACAUCUCCUGUAAUACAAGUGUUGAUGUUACUGGGAAUUUUAUUUGAAAGUUUUUGGGGAGGGGAGAUAGCUUAGUGUAGGGCCCUGGGGGUUUGGGACAGGAGGGAAAGAGUGGAAGGGAUGGAGGAUCUAUCUGGAAUCUGUUUCAAAGAAGGAAAAACUGCAUAGUGCUUUGAAGAAAUUGAGCAUCAGACCAAGAAGAAAUGUGAUCUCAGCAACCAUCUUCAUAUCAUCCCCAAGCCUGUCCCCCUAUCUUGCUGACAAGUCAUAGUCCUACUUUUACCCCCUUUUGCUGGUUUCAUGUAUUUUGAGGGUGAGCAAUUGUCCAUGCUCUGGAUGAGUUCAAACACUGUGUGAGGGACCACUUGGUUUAAGACGUGGGAACUCUGUGGAAGGGAUGGUUUCUUGUGAUAUGGGGCUGUGGUGUCUGUGUGAUGGGAAGCAUCAGAGAAGGUGUUUGGAGCAACAGGGAGGGAAGGGUGCAUAUCAUCUAAGAAUCAGGGGACAUGGUUUUGUAACCUGUCACGUGCCCUGAAAGUCAGGAAUGGCUGCAGUUCUAUUACCAAGCCCUGACAAGCAGCCAUUUUGGUUAUUAGCAGUGACUUUGAAAAAUUUCUCCUUUGCAACUUUACUAUUUCACUUUCAUCCUGCUCAGUAUGUUGAAAAUGAAGUUUAUGAACUAUCUUUAUAUAAAAGUCCCAACUUGUAAUGCCUCCAUUAUUAUAUGCAGGCUUGAAUUGUUUAAGAUAUACAAACUCACAUAUAUUACAGGAAGAGAAGUAUGGAUAAAUUUCCCAAUAGUUGCCUAGCAGAAGUAUAUACUUAGUAUAUGACUUACUAAGAGAGUGAUCACAAGUGACUUAGGGAGGCCUUUGUAGGUUUCCCCUAUUUACCUUUAGCCUUUUACCACAUCACCAAUGACGUUAGGAGAUCUUGGAUGGGACUCCAAAAUAAAUGAUUUAAGAAAUUCCAUACCUUACAUUAGGACUAGAGCUUGUAGUAAAGGAUGUUGUGAUAUGGUUUUGACCCAGAAGGAUAGUUUUGGGUAUCAACCUCAAGAAUGUCUGCAAAAGGUUUUCAAUGAAGACAACAAAGAAUACCUGUGCUUUCAUCGGGAGAAGGAAUGAGCCUGAUAAUAGUAGUGCCUUUUGCCUGUGGUACAUGUAGCCAAAAGAGCUCUGUAAUAUCAACAAACAUUGAGAAAGGUAAUCUUUGGUCACUGCCAGCUGGAUUGGCCAGUGCACCUUGUAUUCAGUACUCUAUAUUGAAGUAUCUGUCCUUUGACUGUAUGCGGUGCUUAUUGUACUUAGUUUUUAGGGCCCUGAAAGCUUUCUUUGCACUUGCUGGUUCAAAUCCCAACAUCAACUACAUGUUAAAUGCAGUCAGGAAAAGAAUGAUUUGGCUUAUUUUAAACUUUAAGAGUAACAUACUGACAGAGCUUAUGAAUAUAUAUACAAUAAAAUUUAUAUAAUAAUAUAAAUAUAUAACUACCUUACACAUCUUAAAAUUUAGAUCCAGCACACAAAAUAGCAUUUUAAAGCGAAAUACUUUGGAUUUUAUGCAUAAGGGAACUACAAACUGCACACUUUCCACAAGGGAGGGAAUAAAUACUUUUUUCUGUGUCCUUGGAGUAUGGGUGGGAUUAGUGGAUAUGUUUCUCUGGUUCGCCAUUUCAGUGAUGCGAAGGAGCCUCAUGUUGCAGCACAGAAGAUUUUUCAUCGUUGGAAGUUAAGGUUAGUUCACCUUCAUUGAUUCCUUCCUACACUGGACUAAAGCAUUUAAUCUAGCAACACUUAGAUCUCUACAUAGCUUGUCAUACUCUCUAUCCAUAGAAAGGGACUUUCUAGAACCUGUCAGUGUAUUGUGAAAUAUCUCCUACAUCAACUGAUAAUAAGAAAUCAGAAUUGCUUAAUUACGGCAUUAAUAAAGUAUCACCUAGAUUGAAUUAAGCAGAAAAUUUUAGAUGGGAGUUUACCAUCACAAGCAAUAAACGCACAACAGUCCCUGAAUCCUAAAAAGGUGGAGUUCUUGGUGGUAUUAGUGCGUAUCUUCAAAUUAUUUGCUCUCUGGAAAGAUGCUGAUAAAAUUUUGUCCACUACCAUAGUAUCCCUGCCGGAUGGGAACCAUAUCUUUACAAUAGAGUCCCCACCCAUUGGCAAUGUGACAGCUCUAAGGACAGUCAUCUUACAAGUGGACAUGAAGCUCUUAGUUUUUCUUUUUUCUUUUUCUUUUUUUUUUUUUUUUGGUCAACUGGAGUUCUUCUGCUAUGGUUCCAAACCAUUUACCUGGUAGACUGGGUUAUAUAUUCCCAGUUAACCACUACUGGGUUAAGUGACCUAAUGAUAUUAGUAGCCACUUAACUAUUUUCAAGCAUUCUGCCUAGGACAUCAUUUCAUAAAAUUAAGGUUUAACAGACGGAAUCCCAACGUUAGUAGUAUAACUAAGUUCUCUUAGCAACUUUUUAUGAAUGCCUUAGUAGUUCUUUGGCUUCUUGAAGAGCAGCUAAUGCCAUAACCCUUUUUAAAUCGUCCAUCUGCGGCCGGGCACAGUGACUCAAUGCCUGUAAUCCCAGCACUUUGGGAUGCCAAGGUGGGCGGAUCACAAGGUCAGCAGUUCAAGACCAGCCUGGCCAGCAUAGUGAAACCCCGUCUCUACUAAAAACA
Cercocebus atys (sooty mangabey) is the source of this 5157-nucleotide long non-coding RNA. RefSeq lists it as uncharacterized. The transcript is spliced from 2 exons. The record is from RefSeq and is a predicted model, not a curated record. Lineage: Eukaryota; Metazoa; Chordata; Mammalia; Primates; Cercopithecidae.